RNAcentral lists this long non-coding RNA (2924 nucleotides) under Bemisia tabaci. RNAcentral describes it as "lncRNA ENSSSA1NGG011923". Lineage: Eukaryota; Metazoa; Arthropoda; Insecta; Hemiptera; Aleyrodidae. The record is from RNAcentral.
AUGUCCACUGUCAUUAAGGCGUGUAAUGAGGCAAAGACUCCUAUUCUCAAGAAAUUUUAUUACGUUUCUAAUGGAGCGAAGAAAUGGAAUGUGGAAUCCUUUUCAUCCUUGAAGGAUGAUAUAAUCCAAUUAGAAAACAUUGUUGUUAGCUUUCAAAAACACGGAUUCGACACCGACGACAGGGGUGUUCAGAGAGAGACCAAAACGGGGCAGAGCCGGGCGAAAAAGCCGACUGCACGAGGAGAAUGUUGGCCGCGGUCUCCGUACUGCGGCGCAUUAAGGCUCAUGAACCCAAUCAUUGACGUCCAUAUAGAAGAAAACCCUGAUGAAGCCCCAGCAGUGUCAUCGCCUGAGAGCAGCUGCCACGCUUCAAUUGCGAGUACCGACGAGGAAGAAGAUAGCAUAUCCGGUGAAGAUGGGAAUGAGGAAUCCGUUACAAGUGAUGGUGUUGGAGGCACCUCACAACCACAAAAAUCAUGGGAGGAAUACGAGGCGGAAGUUGACUACAAUGCCAAACUAAUGGAUGUAGCUCGGGAUGCUAUACAAUCCUAUAACAGAAAGAAGGCAGCGGUUUCAUCCAAUAUCAUGUCGGACACAUCUUCUGAAAAGGUUUUGGACCUGAAUGUCGACGAAGAAACCGCAAUAUUAGAUUUUGUUUCCAAAAAAAUUCUCCGCCCGAAGGAAAUUCGCGACAUUGAAGAAAUGAGUAGUGUGGAGUCGGGAAAGAGAAUCGAUAAUUAUCGUGCACUGGCCCUCCCCUCAAUCGAAACUGAAGGAAUCAUUUGCUGAGUAAACAAAAUUAGUGAUGAACAUAAGUUCAACCGAGCUGUCUCGGUGCUCCUUCAAUCCUUGUAACCAGCUGCCUCAAAACAUGCCAAAACGCACACAUUUGCCGACACUGGUAUUUGAAGGCGCGUUAUGGCGCGCAGGAUUAUGCAAAGACGUGCACUUGCUGGAGUACACAACUCCAGUUUCAUUGCUCCAGGGAAUCUGCGGACCCAAAGUCUGUCAUCGGUGUCAAACUCGCCCUUAAUGUAAACAAACAAACGGCGACAUAGUCCGAACUCCAACGGCACUAGGUAUGGUAUUGGGGAAUACUGGUUUUGAUGUAGCUUAAUAUCUAUAUUAUUCUACCUCUCCUCUAUUACUAAAUUAUAUCUUAUUUUAUGUUUAUUAGUAAAUAUUUAUAACUAAAUUAUAUAUUUAAUAAUAUUAUAUUAUCAAUAAUUGUAUAAAUUAUUUCUAUACUUUUUUAUAUAUUUACUGUAUAAUCACUGUACUCCUAUUGUGGGGAGGGAGGACAGUGCUUAUACUGUAUUAAAAUACCCUUUCUAGGGGUUGCCCUAUAUAAUAAGAAUAUCAAAAUUUUAAACCUUCUUUUAAAACAAGAUAUAAUUUCUAAGUAAUUUAAAUCAUCGUCUUUUUCAGUUAUGCCAUUGUGAUUACAGGAGGAGAGAGCGGCACUGAAUGACCCUUUCCUCAGUCCAAAUUUAGUCGUUACAACCCUUGAAGAUGCAGGGAGAAUAGUUGAGGAAGGAAGAAUGGAUGAGAUGCAUAUGCCUUCAACGUCAAAGAGCACUAUCUCAAAUAUCCCCAAUCAGAAACCGUUGCAAGGCACGGAGAUGAAUGCCUAGUAAUUGAAGAAGAAUCAGUCGAGGAGAAUCAGUUGAGGAUACACAAAUGCAUUCAACGUCAGAAAGUGCUAUUUCAAAUUUCAAACGUUAGAGAGUCAUCGUUCGAAUUUCCCCUGGUGUACGUCUAAAUUAGCAGCCUCCUUCUCCUCCUGCGAGGUUCCAAAACAAAGAGUUCUUACUUUUCCGGCAACUUGUUUGAAAUGUUACCAUAAAUUGGAAUGCUUAGUCAAUGAAAAUGACUGCAAAAAAUUAACCGCUGCGGAGAAAGAUACCAAGUGUCAUGAUAUUAAUGUUCCAGAUAUGGAAAUUGUUUUUGAUGAAUACAUAGAUCUUACUGAAGUAUCCCCACAAGCACAAGUGAAUGCAAUUGAGAAUACAAGAAAAUGUGAGAAUGAAGAAAAAAUGAAUUUAAACUUAUUCAGCCAACAUUAACUUAUGAAAAGAAAAAUACUUACGAACGACGAUUCUUCCCGAAAAGUUUGUGAAUAGUUUGAACAUACUUGCUUUGACGAGCUGUUUUAAAUGAACUGAUUUGCUUUCAUCUAAUAGUCACUUGAAAAAAACAGCUUCUCAAAGUUGAAUCAAUAAUACUUUAAUACUACUAUGGUCUUAAUUUGCUGUAAUAAAGUUAAGGCAGCAUCUCGUAGAUAGCUUCGCACCAAAAUGUGGACUCACUCUAACCAAGAUCUAAUGUUUCCUCAUUCGAUUUUGAGAUAUAGCUUAGUUACCUCGGAUACGGGCUUUUCAAAUUUAAUGAGGGGCUUAAAGGACAAGUGGGACAAAAACACUUUUUGCUAUUUCAAAAAAAACAUAUUAAAAGUUUCAAAAUGACAUCAAGCCCAAUUGAUUAUGGCCCAGAUAUAUAGCCCAGUUCCGCUAUUGAGGCGUUGGAUGCAGAAAGGGCGUUUCUUGGUUGCAGUUUUUCAGAAUUUUCAGCCCUAAUUUUUACUUAAGAGAGGAAUCUAUCUGGUAAAUUUUCUGAAAUGUUACGUUUUCAGCAUUGUAAAGUUAGAGAGAAUGUUCAAUAAUAAUCACGAAAAAUUACAUAUAUUUGCUUCAAUAAUGGAUGAAACGUUAGAGGGGAUUCUAGGACUCUGCAGCCAAGAAAUGUCCUUCCUGCGCCUAGUGCUUUAAUUGCGCUCAGGUAGUGCAGCGACAUAGAGGACCUAGUUAAAAGGGAUAAAGAGGACUUGUCAUAAAGGACUCAAAGACAGUGUUAUCAGUUGACUUCUUAUUUAAUAAUUUGAGCACGCUGGAUUUUCAAUUCAAAUUAUAAAAUUAUGUAACGUC